AGGUAUGUCCCAAGUGAACUGGCUUAUUGCGAUGAUUUGGUCGAUUCAGACUUCUCUUUAUUUUGAAUGGCUUUCACCUUUGGGCAAUUCAAUUGAUGGAAGGUGUUGUUUCAAUGAUAUUGAAGCUUUUUUAGGUACUAUGGCAGUUAAGCUUCGUUUGAAAUUGUGGACGCAUGCAUGAUUUAUGUUCUUUUUAUGAUGGGGCAUUAUGACAUUUGCACAAAUUUGUAAGUGCCAUGUAGUGGUUAAUUAGGUACACAUUAGUGCGUACAAGUCUUUUAUUGCACCUACUCGUUAUUCCUUUUGCAGAGGGUUUUGCGGCGGUGGCCUGACACACCCGGGUUGUGCUACUUCUGCAGGGAAUGGCGUUCUCGAUGGCCGGGAGGGACCGGCUCGGCCUCCAUGGCCUGCUCCCGCCCAGUGUCGUUUCCUUGCAGCAGCAGAUGACCGAUUCCCUGCCGGUUCGGUUCCUUCCUUGCUUACCACUCAACUGACAGCCAUCAUUGGUAUCGUGCUCUGGCUCCCUAUUUCUCAUUGCUAAGGAGAAGCAUGUCCACGAGUUUGCAAUGGUGGGUGGCACAUCCAUUGGUCAAGAUCGAGGACAGUGGCCUCGACAGCGUG
This 621-nucleotide long non-coding RNA is filed under the name Triticum aestivum (bread wheat). RNAcentral describes it as "long non-coding RNA (TAES_LNC021907)". Lineage: Eukaryota; Viridiplantae; Streptophyta; Magnoliopsida; Poales; Poaceae. The record is from RNAcentral.